RNAcentral lists this ribosomal RNA (440 nucleotides) under uncultured bacterium. RNAcentral's name for it is "partial 16S ribosomal RNA". It matches the Rfam family "Bacterial small subunit ribosomal RNA", at positions 338 to 795 of the family's 1533-position model. The record is from RNAcentral.
CCUACGGUGUGCAGCAGUGGGGAAUAUUGCACAAUGGGGGAACCCCUGAUGCAGCGACGCCGCGUGAAGGACGCAGUAUUUCGGUAUGUACACUUCUAUCAGCAGGGAAGAAAAUGACGUUACCUGACUAAGAAGCCCCGGCUACCUACGUGCCAGCAGCCGCGGUCAUACGUAGGGGGCCAGCGUUAUCCGGAUUUACUGGGUGUACAGGGAGCAUAGGCGGUUUAGCACGUCAGAAGUGAAAGCCCGGGGCUCAACUCCGGGACUGCUUUUGAAACGGUUGAACUAGAUUGCAGGAGAGGUAAGUGGAAUUCCUAGUGUAGCGGUGAAAUGCGUAGAUAUUAGGAGGAACACCAGUGGCGAAGGCGGCUUACUGGACUGUAAAUGACGCUGAGGCUCGAAAGCGUGGGGAGCAAACAGGAUGAGAUACCCGAGUAGUC